RNAcentral lists this ribosomal RNA (470 nucleotides) under uncultured bacterium. Its description in RNAcentral is "partial 16S ribosomal RNA". It matches the Rfam family "Bacterial small subunit ribosomal RNA", at positions 28 to 507 of the family's 1533-position model. The record is from RNAcentral.
GACGAACGCUGGCGGCGUGCUUAACACAUGCAAGUCGAACGGUGAACGAGGGAGCUUGCUCCCUCCGGAUCAGUGGCGAACGGGUGAGUAACACGUGAGCAACCUGCCCUGAACUCUGGGAUAAGCGUUGGAAACGACGUCUAAUACCGGAUACGACGCGGGAGGGCAUCCUCUCCGCGUGGAAAGAACUUCGGUUCGGGAUGAGCUCGCGGCCUAUCAGCUUGUUGGUGUGGUAACGGCUCACCAAGGCGACGACGGGUAGCCGGCCUGAGAGGGUGACCGGCCACACUGGGACUGAGACACGGCCCAGACUCCUACGGGAGGCAGCAGUGGGGAAUAUUGCACAAUGGGCGCAAGCCUGAUGCAGCAACGCCGCGUGAGGGACGACGGCCUUCGGGUUGUAAACCUCUUUUAGCAGGGAAGAAGCGAAAGUGACGGUACCUGCAGAAAAAGCACCGGCUAACUACGUG